RNAcentral lists this ribosomal RNA (253 nucleotides) under uncultured bacterium. Its description in RNAcentral is "partial 16S ribosomal RNA". It matches the Rfam family "Bacterial small subunit ribosomal RNA", at positions 524 to 776 of the family's 1533-position model. The record is from RNAcentral.
UACAGAGGUCUCAAGCGUUGUUCGGAUUCAUUGGGCGUAAAGGGUGCGUAGGCGGCGCGGUAAGUCGGGUGUGAAAUCUUGGAGCUUAACUCCGAAACUGCAUUCGAUACUGCUUUGCUUGAGGACUGGAGAGGAGAUUGGAAUUCACGGUGUAGCAGUGAAAUGCGUAGAUAUCGUGAGGAAGACCAGUGGCGAAGGCGGAUCUCUGGACAGUUCCUGACGCUGAGGCACGAAGGUCAGGGGAGCAAACGGG